This is a ribosomal RNA of 435 nucleotides. It matches the Rfam family "Bacterial small subunit ribosomal RNA", at positions 341 to 792 of the family's 1533-position model.
ACGGGAGGCAGCAGUCGGGAAUAUUGCGCAAUGGAGGAAACUCUGACGCAGUGACGCCGCGUAUAGGAUGAAGGUUUUCGGAUUGUAAACUAUUGUCGUUAGGGAAGAUAAAAGACAGUACCUAAGGAGGAAGCUCCGGCUAACUACGUGCCAGCAGCCGCGGUAAUACGUAGGGAGCAAGCGUUAUCCGGAUUUAUUGGGUGUAAAGGGUGCGUAGACGGGAAGACAAGUUAGUUGUGAAAUCCCUCGGCUUAACUGAGGAACUGCAACUAAAACUAUCUUUCUUGAGUGCGGGAGAGGAAAGUGGAAUUCCUAGUGUAGCGGUGAAAUGCGUAGAUAUUAGGAGGAACACCGGUGGCGAAGGCGGGUUACUGGACGAUUACUGACGCUGAGACACGAAAGCGUGGGGAGCAAACAGGAUUAGAUACCCUGGUA